GCAGUGAUGGAGGGGUAUGAUCGACUGUUGGGACAGGCAACCUGAAAGUCCACCAAACCCACCCUGUCACACAGGAGAUUACCCUUUGACUUCAAGACCUGGUUCAGGAAAAUCUAAGGAACAGUGUCUUGUUUUCACACUUCCAGAGGGCUGCUUCUUGGAGCCAGUUAUGACAGAAGGAGAGUGUGCCAGGAAGAUGUUCUUGUUGGCAAGGUGUCCACCUAGGCAUUUUACAGACGGUCCACUGAGGUCCAGAGACGUGGGGCCCCUUGCUCCUGGUCACACGGCUGAGAAAUGAGGGGCAGGAAAUCCCGCCCGGCUGCGGCGGCUGCCGCGGCGGCAGGGGGAGAAGCUCCGAACGGACCGUCCCGGCAGCCACACAUCGAUCUCGUUCGGGUCUAAGGUCCGGCCAGGUCGUAACUCCAGCCACUCUUUCGCCACCUGGAGCGAUCGCCCCGCCCACCCCUCCAUUCCCUUAGCCACGCGGCCCGGAGGCCUGGCUCUUCCCGGCGGCCCCCGAGCCGCGGGCCGGCCGCCGCCAGGUGGAAAGAGACAGGUCAGCGGCGACUCGCCCCCGGGAGGCGGCGCCUGGCUGAGCCGAGCAGCCGGCGGCCGCGACCCCAGGCCUCCCUCCGC
Long non-coding RNA from Bos taurus (domestic cattle), 636 nucleotides. The record is from Ensembl. NCBI's taxonomy places the organism in Eukaryota, Metazoa, Chordata, Mammalia, Artiodactyla, Bovidae.